UGAAGUAAGUAAGGGCGUACGGUGAAUGCCUUGGUGCCAACAGGCGAAGAAGGACGCGGCAAGCUGCGAAAAGCCUCGGGAAGCUGCAAGCAAGCGAUGAUCCGGGGAUAUCCGAAUGGGGUAACCUGAUCGAGGCAAUACUCGAUCGUUCAUACCUGAAUACAUAGGGUAUGAAACGCGAAACCCGCUGAAGUGAAACAUCUCAGUAAGCGGAGGAAAAGAAAGAGAAAUCGAUUCCGUAAGUAGUGGCGAGCGAAAGCGGAUGGAGCCCAAACCGAAGGUAUUCCUUCGGGGUUGUAGGAUCACGUCAUAUUCGACCAUACUGGAUAGUAGAACAGCCUGGAAAGGCUGGCCGGAGAAGGUGAAAGCCCUGUAGACGAAAUCCAGAGUGGGAAUUAGUGGUAUCCUGAGUAAUACAUCACACGUGGAACGAUGUAUGAACCCGCGCGGACCACCGCGCAAGGCUAAAUACUAGUUGGCGACCGAUAGUGAACAAGUACCGCGAGGGAAAGGUGAAAAGAACCGCUGUGAGCGGAGUGAAAUAGAACCUGAAACCGUAUGUCUACAAAGUGUCAGAGCAGAGCAAUCUGCGAUGGCGUGCCUUUUGUUUAAUGAGUCUGCGAGUCAGUGUUUGUGGCAAGACUAAGGGCUUCCGGCCCGGAGUCGCAGCGAAAGCAAGUCCGAACAGGGCGCAAUAAGUCGCAGGUACUGGACCCGAAGCGGAGGUGACCUACCCUUGGCCAGGUUGAAGCAUGGGUAAAACCAUGUGGAGGACCGAACAGGUGAACGUUGAAAAGUUCUCUGAUGAGCUGAGGGUAGGAGUGAAAGGCUAAUCAAACCCCGUGAUAGCUGGUUCUCUUCGAAAUGCAUUUAGGUGCAGCGUCACGUGCUGAUGCGCGGGGGUAGAGCACUGACAAGGCUAGGGGGCACACCCGCUUACCAAACCUUAUCAAACUCCGAAUACCGUGCAAUGGAACGUGGCAGUGAGACAGUGGGGGAUAAGCUUCAUUGUCGAGAGGGAAACAACCCAGACCAGCAGCUAAGGUGCCUAAAUAACGCUCAGUGGAAAGGAUGUGGGAUUACACAGACAGUGAGGAUGUUGGCUUAGAAGCAGCCACCAUUUAAAAAAUGCGUAAUAGCUUACUCAUCGAGUGAUCCUGCGCCGAAAAUGAUUGGCGAUCAAGCGUUAUACCGAAGCUCUGGACUUUGCCGCAAGGCAGAGUGGUAGAAGAGCGUUGCAUGCGCGUCGAAGGGCGAUGGCGACUGACCCUGGAGCACAUGCAAGUGAGUAUGCAGACAUGAGUAACGUUAAGCCGGGUGAAAUCCCCGGCCGCCGUAAACCCGAGGUUUCCAGGGCAACGUGUUUCGUCCCUGGGUUAGCCGGGACCUAAGCCGAGGCCGAGAGGCGUAGGCGAUGGACAUCAGGUUAAUAAUCCUGAGCUCGCAACCCUUAAACUGGGGGGACGCAUGAGAAAAGAUGACUAGGUUAUUGAAUUCCGAGUUGAGUCCACGGACUCAGCGCAUCAUUGGAUCGAGUGCCAAGAAAAGCCCCAGCGUAUGCUAAGCGACCCGUACCGCAAACCGACACAGGUGGGUGGGUAGAAUAUACCAAGGCGUAAGAGUGAAACCUGGUUAAGGAACUCGGCAAAUUAGCCCCGUAACUUCGGAAGAAGGGGUGCCUGCAGCGAUGCAGGCCGCAGAGAAAUGGCCCAACCGACUGUUUAUCAAAAACACAGCACUCUGCAAAGACGCAAGUCGAAGUAUAGGGUGUGACACGUGACCAAUGCCGAAAGAUUAAGGCAAGGGGUUAGCCGCAAGGCGAAGCUCUAAACCCAAGUCCCGGUGAAUGUCGGCCGUAACUAUAACGGUCCUAAGGUAGCGAAAUUCCUUGUCGGGUAAGUUCCG
Molecule: ribosomal RNA, 1905 nt
Filed under: human gut metagenome
Description: bacterial LSU rRNA
Rfam family: Bacterial large subunit ribosomal RNA
Source: RNAcentral